AAUCAACGCUGGCGGCGUGCCUAACACAUGCAAGUCGAACGCGAAAGUGGAGCAAUCCAUGAGUAGAGUGGCGAACGGGUGAGUAACGCGUGGGUGACCUGCCUUCGAGUGGGGGAUACCGUUUCGAAAGGAACGCUAAUACCGCAUGAUCUCCUGCCUUUAGGAGGGUGGAGAGCAAAGCUGGGGAUCGCAAGACCUGGCGCUCGGAGAGGGGCCCCGCGCCGAUUAGCUAGUUGGUGGGGUGAUGGCCUACCAAGGCGACGACGGGUAGCCGGCCUGAGAGGGCGACCGGCCACACUGGGACUGAGACACGGCCCAGACUCCUACGGGAGGCAGCAGUGGGGAAUCUUGCGCAAUGGGCGAAAGCCUGACGCAGCGACGCCGCGUGAGGGAUGACGG
RNAcentral lists this ribosomal RNA (399 nucleotides) under uncultured bacterium. Its description in RNAcentral is "bacterial SSU rRNA". It matches the Rfam family "Bacterial small subunit ribosomal RNA", at positions 28 to 414 of the family's 1533-position model. The record is from RNAcentral.